RNAcentral lists this RNase P RNA (362 nucleotides) under Oscillospiraceae bacterium. RNAcentral's name for it is "RNase P RNA component class A". It matches the Rfam family "Bacterial RNase P class A". From Rfam's summary of the family: Ribonuclease P (RNase P) is a ubiquitous endoribonuclease, found in archaea, bacteria and eukarya as well as chloroplasts and mitochondria. Its best characterised activity is the generation of mature 5'-ends of tRNAs by cleaving the 5'-leader elements of precursor-tRNAs. The record is from RNAcentral. Lineage: Bacteria; Bacillati; Bacillota; Clostridia; Eubacteriales; Oscillospiraceae.
UGAGUAAGCCAGACAGUCGCGGGCGUGCCGUAAGGCGCGAAUGAGGAAAGUCCGAGCUCCAUAGGGCAGGGUGCCGGGUAACUCCCGGUGGAGGCGACUCUAAGGAAAGUGCAACAGAAAUAAACCGCUGACGCAAUUGAUUGCAAGCAAGGAUGGAAAGGCGAGGUAAGAGCUCACCGGCGGGCGGGAGACCGUCCGGCCAUGUAAACCCCACCUGGUGCAACACUGAUACGGAAGGCAUCAUUUGAUGCGCGCUUGCCCGGCGUAUUUGAUUCCGUGACGUGGCUUGAGCUGUGCAGAAAUGUACAGCCUAGAUAGAUGACUGUCAAAUACAGAACUCGGCUUAUAGGCUUGCUCACAAU